This 345-nucleotide ribosomal RNA is filed under the name uncultured Desulfobulbus sp. Its description in RNAcentral is "bacterial SSU rRNA". It matches the Rfam family "Bacterial small subunit ribosomal RNA", at positions 1039 to 1382 of the family's 1533-position model. Lineage: Bacteria; Pseudomonadati; Thermodesulfobacteriota; Desulfobulbia; Desulfobulbales; Desulfobulbaceae. The record is from RNAcentral.
UGCUGCAUGGCUGUCGUCAGCUCGGUGUCGUGAGAUGUUGGGUUAAGGUCCCGCAACGAGCGCAACCCUUGCCUUUAGUUGCCAGCAGUUCGGCUGGGCACUCUAAAGGGACUGCCGGUGUUAAACCGGAGGAAGGUGGGGAUGACGUCAAGUCCUCAUGGCCUUUAUGACCAGGGCUACACACGUACUACAAUGGCCGAUACAAAGGGCAGCGACACUGCGAGGUGAAGCCAAUCCCGUAAAAUCGGUCUCAGUCCGGAUUGGAGUCUGCAACUCGACUCCAUGAAGUUGGAAUCGCUAGUAAUCGUGGAUCAGCAUGCCACGGUGAAUACGUUCCCGGGCCUU